AUAUAACACACCUUUCAAAGAAUUAACGAGUUAUUGCCAAUUUAUAAUGACGCCAUUUCUAAAAUGUGUGGUGGCCAUCUUGAAAUUUUUUUUCUUUUUUUCUGGCCAGCAGCGGAUUUUUUAUAAGUAUCAUUUAGUCAACCUUUAUACCAAAUUUCAUGCUUGUAUCACGAUUUGCACAAUUAUGUCCAUAAUAUCUCCCAC
This 204-nucleotide long non-coding RNA is filed under the name Mytilus galloprovincialis (Mediterranean mussel). The record is from RNAcentral. Lineage: Eukaryota; Metazoa; Mollusca; Bivalvia; Mytilida; Mytilidae.